CCUACGGGAGGCAGCAGUAGGGAAUAUUGGGCAAUGGAGGCAACUCUGACCCAGCCAUGCCGCGUGCAGGAAGACGGUCCUCUGGAUUGUAAACUGCUUUUGAAUGGGAAGAAUGUGCUCCUUGCGAGGGGUAAUGACGGUACCAUUAGAAUAAGCCACGGCUAACUACGUGCCAGCAGCCGCGGUAAUACGUAGGUGGCGAGCGUUAUCCGGAUUUAUUGGGUUUAAAGGGUGCGUAGGCGGCUUAAUAAGUCGGUGGUUAAAAGUAGCAGCUUAACUGUUUUACAUGCCAUCGAUACUGUUGAGCUUGAGAUAUUUGGAGGCAGCUAGAAUUUCCGGUGUAGCGGUGAAAUGCAUAGAUACCGGAAGGAAUACCAAUUGCGAAGGCAGGUUGCUACGAAUAAACUGACGCUGAUGCACGAAAAGCGUGGGGAUCAAAACAGGAUUAGAUACCCUGGUAGUCCACGCCGUAAACGAUGAUUACUAGUUGUUGGGGUUUAAGCCUCAGUGACCAAGGGAAACCGAUAAGUAAUCCACCUGGGAGUACGCCGGCAACGGUGAAACUCAAAGGAAUUGACGGCUUGAGAGNGCGAGACGACGACGAGGAGAGG
Molecule: ribosomal RNA, 611 nt
Filed under: uncultured bacterium
Lineage: Bacteria
Description: bacterial SSU rRNA
Rfam family: Bacterial small subunit ribosomal RNA
Source: RNAcentral